This 666-nucleotide ribosomal RNA is filed under the name uncultured Micromonosporaceae bacterium. Its description in RNAcentral is "bacterial SSU rRNA". It matches the Rfam family "Bacterial small subunit ribosomal RNA", at positions 136 to 816 of the family's 1533-position model. The record is from RNAcentral. Lineage: Bacteria; Bacillati; Actinomycetota; Actinomycetes; Micromonosporales; Micromonosporaceae.
CUUUGGGAUAACCCUCGGAAACGGGGGCUAAUACCGGAUAUGACUUCGCAUCGCAUGGUGUGGGGUGGAAAGUUUUUUCGGCCUGGGAUGGGCUCGCGGCCUAUCAGCUUGUUGGUGGGGUGAUGGCCUACCAAGGCGACGACGGGUAGCCGGCCUGAGAGGGCGACCGGCCACACUGGGACUGAGACACGGCCCAGACUCCUACGGGAGGCAGCAGUGGGGAAUAUUGCACAAUGGGCGGAAGCCUGAUGCAGCGACGCCGCGUAAGGGAUGACGGCCUUCGGGUUGUAAACCUCUUUCAGCAGGGACGAAGCGUAAGUGACGGUACCUGCAGAAGAAGCGCCGGCCAACUACGUGCCAGCAGCCGCGGUAAGACGUAGGGCGCGAGCGUUGUCCGGAUUUAUUGGGCGUAAAGAGCUCGUAGGCGGUUUGUCGCGUCGACUGUGAAAACCCGCAGCUCAACUGCGGGCCUGCAGUCGAUACGGGCAGGCUAGAGUUCGGUAGGGGGGACUGGAAUUCCUGGUGUAGCGGUGAAAUGCGCAGAUAUCAGGAGGAACACCGGUGGCGAAGGCGGGUCUCUGGGCCGAUACUGACGCUGAGGAGCGAAAGCGUGGGGAGCGAACAGGAUUAGAUACCAUGGUAGUCCACGCUGUAAACGUUGGGCGC